UGUAGUCUCGCACAGAUGCAUAUCAAUAAGCGGAGGAAAAGAAACUAACAAGGAUUCCCCUAGUAACGGCGAGUGAAGCGGGAAGAGCUCAAAUUUGAAAUCUUAAAGGGUUUCCCUUUACGAAUUGUAGUUUAAAGAAGUGUUUUCUGUUGAGGUUUUGGUAAAAGUUCUUUGGAAUAGGACAUCAUAGAGGGUGAGAAUCCCGUAUUUGACCUUUACUUUCAACUUUGUGAUACACUUUCAAAGAGUCGGAUUGUUUGGGAAUGCAGUCCAAAAUGGGUGGUAAAUUUCAUCUAAAGCUAAAUAUUGGCGAGAGACCGAUAGCGAACAAGUACCGUGAGGGAAAGAUGAAAAGAACUUUGAAAAGAGAGUUAAACAGUACGUGAAAUUGUCAAAAGGGAAGCGUUUGACACCAGUGUUGUUUUUCUGAAAAUCAAUUAAAGAACUGUUUAUGCUAAGUCUGUUUAGACUUUAUCAGCUAAUCUGUUUAGUUUUGAGCUUUUCUUUAAUGCACUUUUCAGUUAACAAGUCAACAUCAAUUUCUUUUGCUGUAAAAAAGCUUGAGGAAGGUGGCUUGAGAUUCGUCUUAAGUGUUUAUAGCCUCUUGCCUAUGCAGUCGGAGAGAUUGAGGUCUGCAGCGUAGAUCCUUCGGGGCUAAAUGCAUUUGUGCUAAGUUAUAGCAUUUUAUAGACAACUUGUUGACUAUGAUUUGUCUUGUAGCUUACUCGCAUAUGUUAUUUUACCUACGCUUAGGAUGUUGAUCUGUAGUGCGUGCGC
RNAcentral lists this ribosomal RNA (777 nucleotides) under uncultured Neocallimastigales. Its description in RNAcentral is "partial large subunit ribosomal RNA". It matches the Rfam family "Eukaryotic large subunit ribosomal RNA", at positions 24 to 646 of the family's 3401-position model. The record is from RNAcentral. Lineage: Eukaryota; Fungi; Neocallimastigomycota; Neocallimastigomycetes; Neocallimastigales.